This 165-nucleotide unclassified non-coding RNA is filed under the name uncultured Ascomycota. RNAcentral's name for it is "sequence contains ITS1". Lineage: Eukaryota; Fungi; Ascomycota. The record is from RNAcentral.
CCGAGUUUACAACUCCCAAACCCCAUGUGAACCUUACCUUAACGUUGCUUCGGCGGUCUCGCCCCGGUGCCCUCAUGGGCCCGGACCCAGGCGCCCGCCGGAGGACCACCAAACCAUUGUGUUGUCUAGUGGCAUUGUCUGAGUGGCGUAAAGCAAAAUAAAUCA